This 879-nucleotide long non-coding RNA is filed under the name Homo sapiens (human). RNAcentral describes it as "HSALNT0269582". The record is from RNAcentral. Lineage: Eukaryota; Metazoa; Chordata; Mammalia; Primates; Hominidae.
CUGUGUUGCGCCUGACCUUAUGCCUCAUUUUCAAUGGGGUCCGGUGUUUUUCAUGAGAAACAACUCAAUUGCCUUUCCCUCCGCGGAAUGCUACAGGGGAGGUUAUUGUAGUACCGUAUUUGUUCUGAGACACGCUACUUUCCCCCACAUUUUAACAGGCUGGAAACUGGGGUGCAUCUCACCACCUGUGGCAUCCUAGUUUGGAUGAAAUGCGGUGUUGCACUUUGAGCACUUACCCUGUGCCGGGCACUGUGGCAAGAGGGGACAGAGCCACCUGUCAGCCCAGCCUUGUCACCUGUGAGUGACAGCAUCAGCCCCAAAGUCGGGACACUCCCUGUAACCUUGGGAGAACCUUUCCCCACUGUCAGCCUCAGUUGUGAAAUGAGGAACCUUGUUCUAGAAUCUAGAUCAUGGUUUCCCUAGCUUUAAUCUUCUGAGCCCCACCUUCCUGAUUCUGGCCAUACCCAUGUCUGAUUAUUUAAUUAAUGUUGUUGAGUAGUGCACCUUUUUAAAAAUUUAUUUUAAAACAAUUUUAUAGUAUUAUUUUAAGUGUAAAUCAUGAAAAACACCAUAAAAAUAAAUGUUGUCCCUGGCAGUUAAAACACUGCGGGAGGCUCUGAGCCUUUGGUGUUGGCACCAAACGAGACUUGGUCCCCAUGAGGUCAGAAGGCUCGGGAGUGACUGGGAAUCAGAACAAGGAGCUCAUUGUUUGGGUUUGUGAGUGUCCCUGCAACACCCAGGACCAGCCCCGCUCCUGAGAACUCAGGGAGCCCCAAAAUGAGCUAUUCCGCCAGGUCCUCUUGCUCUCUAAGCCAGAGCCUGAAGUCUUUGGCCGCCAGUUCGAUGGUGUCCAGGAAGAAUUCAGAGGACAGGCCUGCG